Molecule: transfer RNA, 74 nt
Filed under: Desulfovibrio sp.
Lineage: Bacteria; Pseudomonadati; Thermodesulfobacteriota; Desulfovibrionia; Desulfovibrionales; Desulfovibrionaceae
Description: tRNA-Gln
Rfam family: tRNA
About the family: Transfer RNA (tRNA) molecules are approximately 80 nucleotides in length. Their secondary structure includes four short double-helical elements and three loops (D, anti-codon, and T loops). Further hydrogen bonds mediate the characteristic L-shaped molecular structure. tRNAs have two regions of fundamental functional importance: the anti-codon, which is responsible for specific mRNA codon recognition, and the 3' end, to which the tRNAs corresponding amino acid is attached (by aminoacyl-tRNA synthetases). tRNAs cope with the degeneracy of the genetic code in two manners: having more than one tRNA (with a specific anti-codon) for a particular amino acid; and 'wobble' base-pairing, i.e. permitting non-standard base-pairing at the 3rd anti-codon position.
Source: RNAcentral
UUCCCCUUGGUGUAAUGGUAGCACAACUGUUUUUGGUACAGUUAGUAUAGGUUCGAAUCCUGUAGGGGAAGCCA